This 301-nucleotide ribosomal RNA is filed under the name uncultured bacterium. RNAcentral describes it as "partial 16S ribosomal RNA". It matches the Rfam family "Bacterial small subunit ribosomal RNA", at positions 509 to 809 of the family's 1533-position model. The record is from RNAcentral.
CAGUAGCCGCGGUAAUACGUAGGGUGCAAGCGUUAAUCGGAAUUACUGGGCGUAAAGCGUGCGCAGGCGGUUCGCUAAGACAGAUGUGAAAUCCCCGGGCUUAACCUGGGAACUGCAUUUGUGACUGGUGGGCUAGAGUAUGGCAGAGGGGGGUAGAAUUCCACGUGUAGCAGUGAAAUGCGUAGAUAUGCGGAGGAACACCGAUGGCGAAGGCAGCCCCCUGGGCCAACACUGACGCUCAUGCACGAAAGCGUGGGGAGCAAACAGGAUUAGAUACCCCGGUAGUCCCUGUCUCUUAUAU